CACCAUCAAACACGUCGUAACACACAUUCAUCAGCUCAUAUGGACAAGCUUUGAUUCCUUCCCAACUUCAUCUUCUUGCUUUAAAAAUUCACAUGAAGAAAAUCAUGAGCCAGUAAAACGAGAUCCACAUAUCUUUGAUUCCAUAUUUUUACCUCCAUUUCGGAAAUCAAACUGAAACUAUGAAAAAUCUUCAAUCUGGAAUAAUCGUCGUCAUCCAAGUCUUUCAAAUCACCGUCUUCACCAAAUGGAACUGUGAAAUCCGUGCGCGAGGUUGAACGACUUCAAGAGGUUCAAAUUGAUAGGAUGAGAAAGAGAAUGAGACUUACCAAGUUGAUUCGAUGCGUUGGUUCUCUGGCGAAAAAAGGUUGGCUGCCAUGGUUAUGGAUAUUGGCACCAAAGCUCUAAACAAAACCAUCAUGACAAAGAUGCAAGAACAAGCUUUGGAGGGGAAGUUGGCUUGGAAGAAAAAUGAUGAAGCAAGAAGAAUGAAGGAUGACAUUAUGAAGUUUAGGACUCUUAAAAUAAAUGUUGACUUUGGUCAAAGUUGACCAAAAAGUCAACUAUUGACCAAAGUCAACCUUUGGUCAAAGUCAUUAUUUUUUGUAUUUCUUUUCAAAUGAUGUAAAUGUGACCAUGUAUGAAUGAAUAUUUGUAUGAUUAUUGUUGAUUCUAAGUGUUGACAGCAA
Long non-coding RNA from Lathyrus oleraceus (garden pea), 686 nucleotides. RefSeq lists it as uncharacterized. Lineage: Eukaryota; Viridiplantae; Streptophyta; Magnoliopsida; Fabales; Fabaceae. The transcript is spliced from 2 exons. The record is from RefSeq and is a predicted model, not a curated record.